Long non-coding RNA from Aegilops tauschii subsp. strangulata, 1549 nucleotides. RefSeq lists it as uncharacterized. The record is from RefSeq and is a predicted model, not a curated record. NCBI's taxonomy places the organism in Eukaryota, Viridiplantae, Streptophyta, Magnoliopsida, Poales, Poaceae.
UCUCGAUCCGAUCUCUCUCCCGAAUUUUUUUUGCCAACGCCGGCCUCCUCUUUCAUCUCCCAUGGCGGAGACUCCCCAUGGCGACCAUAGGAAAGGGUAGGUAGAUCCAUCUCGCCCACUUCUUCCUGCCGUCGUCAUCGUCCUCCACUCGACCAUGCUAGCUUCCGCGAUUUGGAUGCCUCCCCUACGAGGAAUACUCAUCGCAGGUGGCGGCGGCCGUUGGCAAGGGCUCAUUUGGAAGAGCAGGUGGCGUACAAGGUCGCGUCGAGGUCCAACGACCGGAGUAUCAGCUCCGUAGAGGACGCCGUCCCAGGACUCGAAGAAUUCCAAGAAAGAUCAUUGCUUCAAGGUUGGCAGCGGCCACAACGUAAUUGACAUCAAAACUAGAUCUUGGUCCUACAUAUCCGGUCUUGCUCGGUGAUAUUUCUUUUUUCCAUUCCGUUAUAUACCUACGUAUAUGAUUGGUUUGCUACAUGAGGUAGUGACGAAAUCAACAAUACUAGCUACUAGCCAACAAUAUGUGUUUACGACUCUCAUCACAGAGUGAUUAAUCAUAGUAAACUAUGUGCCAGCUUAUGUGAGUCCAAUCGAUCUAUCUUUUACUGGCAUUACCCAUUGUGUAGAUUAGGAUUACCACACCAACCUUCAUAGACUCCUAAAACUAUCCUAGGAUUAUCAGUUUCUCAAACAAUUGAAGUUGCAGCCUAUGUGAAAUCUUUAUUUCCUGAUAUGGUAGCAGUACCUAAUUUUCUUUAUUUUAUGAAUCACAGUCUAAAGGCUCAGAAGCAGUUGAUCAUUACCUGUCACAGUAUACAAAACACAUAUCUAAUAUUGGGGAAAAUGUAUGUAUUUUCUCGAGCAGCUAUGUGGAUAUAGGUCUUGCUGAAAAUUUGUAACUGAGCUUGUAAUCUUAACAAUUGUUGUCAAACAGUCAGCUGAUAUGUUCAUAUGUGAAUCAUCCACCCAAUUAGCUAUAAUGCUUUCCAAGGCCAGUACCAUACCAACAUUGGAUCCAAAAGAGCAUGUGGUAACAUCAAAUGCCAAAUUGGACACAUACAUACGGUAUGAAAAUUUACGGAGAAGACAAGGACCCAUCACUCCAGAGUCUAGGAAAGUUGGGCAAAUGUAAUCUUUUUAUGGAAAAAUGCAAAACCUGUCAGCCAUCAACCCUAGCAGAGGGGCAAGCGCUCUUUAUCUCUAAUGUAUAAUCCUUUUAUUUGGCGUUGUUGCCAUGCCGCUAUAGCUGGUCUUUUGCUUUCUCCUUUUCCUGUAGCCAGUUGUACUUGGUUUUCUCUAUCCUCAUAUCAAUGAAAAUGCAGCAUUGAUUAUGCUUCGUCAAGAACAUGCUCCGUUCUGAGCGCUUCAAGUAGAUCUUAGUUAAUACUCCCUCCGAUCUAUAAUAAGGUUUGAACUAAAACCAGGACACUUAUUAUGGAUCAUAGGGAGUACAACAUAAUCAGAUAGAUGCUUGUUGUAUGGGUAUGCCAUGUCUAACUAUAUUAUUCUAUGAGUACAUUUCAAGUGAAAAUCAAAUUUAUUGUUUUUGGAA